RNAcentral lists this long non-coding RNA (2023 nucleotides) under Anas zonorhyncha (Eastern spot-billed duck). Its description in RNAcentral is "lncRNA (ENSAZOG00000000228.1)". The record is from RNAcentral. Lineage: Eukaryota; Metazoa; Chordata; Aves; Anseriformes; Anatidae.
GGACAUUUUUCUAAGAUAAACUGUCAGUCUUCAGAAUCACAGUAAUGCAGAUAAUUGCUUUCAAAUUAUACAUCAUUUCAAUGAUGUAUAAAAGACUGCAAGCAGUUCAAAAGGUUCCUUUGCCUGGACUGUGUAUUGCUUGUCUACUGAGAAUGGAGCUCAAGGGCCAACUCUGAGGUCCUGAAAAAUCUGUCAGGGUUUUAAAGUCUUCCCACUUUUCUUCGGAAGGUUUGCAGAUCUUUUCUGAACAGUUUUAAAGGCAAGAAAUGCUCUUUUUUUUUUCCUCUUAACUUCCCAAUACCAAUUGUCCUGUGGAAGAAAAAAUUAGAAGUAGAUUUUUUUGUGAAAUAACAUCUAAACAAUACUUUUGAAGUAGUUAGCUUCUCCUGCAGGCCAUGUUCUACUGAACAGUCCCAGCUGCAGGCAGCUAAUCAGAUAGGGCACAAUCAAAACCUUCACUACUGAAACUCUUUCUCCCUACUCCCUUCUUUGCUUUCUGUUGAACAACUUGUAGGAUUUAGUUUUAAGAAGCUGUUUCAUGUUUCCAGCUGAGCCUUCCAGAGUACAGGGGAGCCAAAAGUCCUCCAGAAAUGACUCUAUAUGUCUUAGUUGCCUGGACAAAACUCCUCCAAAACCCAGACAGGGAUGACCUCAGCACAGAACUUCUUAAAGGAAAAGUUGCUCAACGAAGUCAACAGGAAAAUUCCCAUAGACUUCAACAGAACCAGGAUUUCUCUGUUUUUCAUUGUGCUUUAGCUGAGUGGCCACAGAAAUCUUUGGCUGACAGAUUUAUUUAGAACCAGUGAGACACCUAAAUUUUAAAUCUUUGUUUUAGCUUGUCUUUUAUUUGAACGUGUGCUUUGGGAAUACAUUUAGAUAAUGUUUAUAUUUCACUAUAAAUCCUGAGAUUAAAAAAAAUAACUACUAAACCAACAUUUACCAAUUGUUCAUUUAAUGGAUUUGGGCUGAAGUAUUGAGCUUGAUGGGAAAAAAUAAAGGUUAGUUUCCUACUGAGCCCUGUUGACAUAGGUAUAGUUGGUUCUGCCUUGGGCAAUGGAAAGCACUAGAUCAUCUCUCCAAGUUCCUGUCAGCCCUGUGAUUCUUUGAUUUAACUAGUUUGCUUUUAACUUCAAUCAGCGAUAGACUUGUGGCUAAGACACAUCAGAAAAUGAAAAGAACAUGCCACAGGAAAUAAAUGUGAUUCACUUGUUUAAAUCCACUGGCUAAAAGAAGCAAAUAACAGGACUUAUAUUGGGUUUACUACGAACAUGUUUUCAGUUCCUAAGCAAGACACUGAGUGCAGUUUUAAGAUGCUCUCUUUGAUGUAAACCUCAUGCUGAGGUUUUUUUCUCCAUGUAAUGAGGAGAAGGCAUGGUAGGGCUAUGAACAAAAAGGGGCCAAUGUGACUGUGACCUGAGAAUGGGUUUUCAACCUGCCAGAAUUGCCUGGGAUUAGUAAAGCAGUCAUCUUCCUUUAGUUGCUUUCUGGCUGACAUUUCUUCAAAUACUCUCUGAAGAAUUCAAAUAUUGAGACAAUUUUAAAAAGGCUUUGCACAACAGUAGGAAACAAAUAUGCUGUUGUUUUUAAUAAGUCUUUAAGGCUCUUUAAACAAUAAAAUAAUCUGAAAAAGCUACUUAAAGCUUGCGAUUUAGAUGUGCUGUGGCUCUAAUUGGAUCAAGCUUUAAAGUGAAAAGAACCAACUCCCACAUCACUGAAUGGGAAUCAUUGCAGCAACUUUAGGGCCUGACAGAUCUGCCUCUCAGACUACUCUGCAGGGACAGCUACUCUCUUGUUUUAUUUGACCUCUUGUUUAUUCCUUUUGAAAACACACAAAAGAUAACAUCUAAAAACAAAAUUAAAUACUAGUAAUAAAGGAAGUGCCCACCCUGUCAAUUUGUUUUAAUUUAAAACAUUAGUUAAAAAACAGCUUAUUGUCCUCUAGAUGUCAAUCCAAGGAAAGAAAGAUAGCUUUUCCAAAAGAUCCCUCCUUUAGAAAGCAAGGGACAGUGGAGAAAAAGGAGAA